GACGAACGCUGGCGGCGUGCUUAACACAUGCAAGUCGAACGAAGAGCGAUGGAAGCUUGCUUCUAUCAAUCUUAGUGGCGAACGGGUGAGUAACGCGUAAUCAACCUGCCCUUCAGAGGGGGACAACAGUUGGAAACGACUGCUAAUACCGCAUACGAUCUAAUCUCGGCAUCGAGGAUAGAUGAAAGGUGGCCUCUACAUGUAAGCUAUCACUGAAGGAGGGGAUUGCGUCUGAUUAGCUAGUUGGAGGGGUAACGGCCCACCAAGGCCAUGAUCAGUAGGCGGUCUGGGAGGAUGAACGGCCAAAAUGGGAACGAGACAAGGCCCAGACUUCUAAGGGGAGGAACAGUGGGGGAACUUCCGCAAAGGACGAAAGGCUGGCGGAGCAACGCCGCGGGAGUGAUGGCGGGCUUCGGGUUGGAAAGCUCUGUUAAUUAGGACGAAAGGCCUUCUUGCGAAUAGUGAGAAGGAUUGACGGUACCGAAAUAGAAAGCCACGGCUAACUACGUG
Molecule: ribosomal RNA, 510 nt
Filed under: uncultured bacterium
Lineage: Bacteria
Description: partial 16S ribosomal RNA
Rfam family: Bacterial small subunit ribosomal RNA
Source: RNAcentral